This 907-nucleotide long non-coding RNA is filed under the name Mytilus galloprovincialis (Mediterranean mussel). Lineage: Eukaryota; Metazoa; Mollusca; Bivalvia; Mytilida; Mytilidae. The record is from RNAcentral.
UUGUACAUCCCUUAUGGAAAUAUAAGCCCUCUGGCACAUAGUUGCGGCAGCAGUAUGGCUAUGCUGCGGCUUUGUUGCUGCAAACUGUUGCGGCUUCAAUGCAGCGAUAGCAUAUUUCGUAUGCAAAUUAGUUUUCUGGCACCAUAAUUGCGGCUAUAUUCUGGCACCGUUGCGGCAAUAUUCUGGCAUCAUGUUGCGGCACUGAUGCGGCUAUAGCGUAUUUCGUAUGCAAAUUAGUUUUCUAGCAUUAUGAUUGUGGCGCUGUUGCGGCGCUAAUACGGCUAUAUUCUUGCAUCAUUUUAGUGACAAAACAUGCGAAUAGGCCGUGCUUUGUAUAAAAUGUAUUGUGCCGGCAAAAACAAGUUGUCAAUGCAUAUAUAUGACAUGCAUUCAUGCAUUAUAAAUUUGUAUGCACAGGCACAUAAAAUAAAUGUCAGCGGUAUCUGCAUAACAAAUAAUGAAAAUUUUUAAUGUGCCCUAAGUUUAGCAAAUAAUAUUGUGUUAUUUACCAAACUACAAGUAUGCAAUUAAACUGCUGCAAAAAAAAAAAAACAACACAAACUUCACCGAUACAUGUAUAGUGAACUCAGAUGAGGCCAUGUUAUUGAAAUACACAAUGCAAGAUUGAUCUUUUCUAUACAUGCAAUUACUUGAUAUGAGUUUACUUACAAGUCUUCAAAUCUUCCAAAAAAAAACCAGCUAGAACACCAAAUUCUUCAAUACAAUUAUUAUCACAAGCAACAUGGUGGAUUUCUAACACACUAGUACAGGGAAUAGCUAAAAACGCUGGAAAUGACAUCAUCAAAUUUUCUGGCUAUAUUGUGGUGCUCAUUAAUUUUGAAAGGAAUUAGUGUCGCAAUGAUGCCAGAACAAUGCCGCUAGCAGCAUCAUCCGGCACUACCCCGGC